UUGACAAUGUACAUGUAUUUAACACAUUUAUUCAACGACUUGAAAGCGUUAACUACACAAACGAUAAUAAAUAAAACGAAGUGAGAAACACGCCAAGUAAACAUUGUUCACACUUAGUCCCUGUUCGGUGCCAUUUCUCUAAAACUCACUUUCACCACACAUUUUAUAAAAUCUAUAACUUUUAUCAACUUUUUAACCAAAUAUUUUAUCAACUUUUAAAAAAUAUACUAAAAUCUUAUUUUUACCUAAACAAAACAUGGGUUUAAUAUAUGGGCCCGUUUGGUAGGGAUUUUGAGAAUUGAUUUUUUGACCGUUAGAAGAAAAGUGGGGUCCACAUAUAAGAGAAGAAGUCAAAAAUUAGGGCUUGAAUAGUAAAAUAACGGUCAAAAAAUCAGUUUUUUUGGGCAAAAAAUCCCUACCAAACGGGGCCCAUAUAAGCAUGCUACAGUGUUAGAUUUUUUGACAUAAAGUUUGACAUAGCGUCACAUGGUGUUAUAUUAUUGAAUUAUUUUAAACACGGUCAGCUUUCUUUUCAAAUCACCCUCUACCACUUCAAAUAAUGUCAAAUAAUUAGUUAAAAUCUUUUGGCAAAGUGGCAAAACCCUAAUAUAAAUGUUAUGAUGAAAAACCAUCUUGAAAGAUUUAUCAUUCCCCAUUUUAACAUCCCUCUUAAAAUCUUUAAUAUUAUGGAAACCCGUAAACCAUAAGCACGGAGGGUUUAUUGUAGAACCUAGGAUCCCGAUGUGUAAGAGAAAGGAUGUAGAGUACGGUUUACUAUUUUUCAGAAGUUAUGAUACAACUCUUAACAUUAUAUUUUUGUAUGUUAUGACCAGAUAUUUAGCAAUGGGAGGUUCAAGAGUGUUCUGCAUAGAGUACUUGUGAAUCAGAUGAUCUGAUUAUGGAUUCCUCACCCUUCUCCUCCAAGAUGAAGUCAAGGGAUUGCAAAUACAGCACAAGGAAAAUUGGGUUACAGUUGAACCCAUUCCAGGAUCCUUUGUCGUCAAUGUUGGAGAUCAUCUUGAGGUACAUUUGAUAAUGUACAUGUAUUUAACACAUUUAUUCAACGACUUGAAAGCGUUAACUACACAAACGAUAAUAAAUAAAACGAAGUGAGAAACACGCCAAGUAAACAUUGUUCACACUUGGUCCCUGUUCGGUGCCAUUUCUCUAAAACUCAUUUUCACCACACAUUUUAUAGAAUCUAUAACUUUUAUCAACUUUUUAACCAAACAUUUUAUCAACUUUUAAAAAAUAUACUAAAAUCUUAUUUUUACCUAAACAAAACAGGGGUUUAAUAUAAAUAAGCAUGCUACAGUGUUAGAUUUUUUGACAUAAAGUUUGACGUAGCGUCACAUGGUGUUAUAUUAUUGAACUAUUUUAAACACGGUCAGCUUUCCUUUCAAAUCAUCCUCUACCACUUCAAAUAAUGUCAAAGAAUUAGUUAAAAUCUUCUGACAAAGUGGCAAAACCCUAAUUUAAAUGUUAUGAUGAAAAACCAUCUUGAAAGAUUUAUCAUUCCCCAUUUUAACAUCCCUCUUAAAAUCUUUAAUAUUAUGGAAACCCAUAAACCAUAAGCACGGAGGGUUUAUUGUAGAACCUAGGAUCCCGAUGUGUAAGAGAAAAGAUGUAGAGUACAGUUUACUAUUUUUCAGAAGUUAUGAUACAACUCUUAACAUUAUAUUUUUGUAUGUUAUGACCAGAUAUUUAGCAACGGGAGGUUCAAGAGCGUUCUGCAUAAAGUACUUGUGAAUCCGAU
This 1756-nucleotide long non-coding RNA is filed under the name Olea europaea (common olive). RNAcentral describes it as "long non-coding RNA (OEUR_LNC011197)". The record is from RNAcentral. Lineage: Eukaryota; Viridiplantae; Streptophyta; Magnoliopsida; Lamiales; Oleaceae.